Molecule: long non-coding RNA, 649 nt
Filed under: Dromaius novaehollandiae (emu)
Lineage: Eukaryota; Metazoa; Chordata; Aves; Casuariiformes; Dromaiidae
Description: lncRNA (ENSDNVG00000016990.1)
Source: RNAcentral
CGGCUCGCGGGCGGGACGAGCGCUCCGGAGCCGCCGCGGCCUGGGCUCCCCCGGCCCGCGAAGGGCGAGGAGGCCGCCUCCCCUCACAGGCCUUAGCGGCCGGAGGCCCCCUCACCCCACGGUACUGCCGAGGCUGCGUCCAGCGCCUGGAAUCGCUCCUUCACKUUCCAAAAACGAGCCGUUAUUACUCUUUACGAGCCUUUAAUAUAUUUUUCGGUUGAUGUACAGCUUGAAGCCCAAUAAGUUCUCUUGGAAGAGGUCGUUUCUGAGGAGCAGGCAGAGGCAGGGCUUCGCGCAUCGCUGGGCAGUCGGCUCCCUCCAGCCGUGCAGGCGGAUUUCUCCCGGCUUGUGCUCCGGCAGCUAUGCGCCAGGCAGGCUCAGCUCCGAGGCAGAGCCGCGGCCAAGUGGAGGGGAGCUGCGCCUUCCUCUGGGGUCAGGGAGCAGGGGAUGCCAGCUCAGCUCCAGGAUCUUGGACAGCAGUAUGUCUCAGCUAUGGCACUGCCACCCCUGGCAGGAGCAUCUUGCCYACCCUGCUACUCUGCCCCUUUUGGGGAGGGGAAGCUGGAUGGAGGUCUGCAACAGGUGGGGAUCAGGAAAGCAGAGACUCCAAUACAAUUUUUGCAACAUGAAUAUGAGUAAGAGAGGAUGA